Xenopus laevis (African clawed frog) is the source of this 772-nucleotide long non-coding RNA. RefSeq lists it as uncharacterized. The transcript is spliced from 2 exons. NCBI's taxonomy places the organism in Eukaryota, Metazoa, Chordata, Amphibia, Anura, Pipidae. The record is from RefSeq and is a predicted model, not a curated record.
GCCAAUAAAAGGUAAGUUCUGAGUGAAUUGGGGGUGGGCCAGGGCUUUUUUAAAGGGUAUUACAAACUACUUUGCUGGCAAAUUUGUAAUACAGGCCCCCGGCCUUGGCAGGUGUUUUACCAGCUAGGCCUGUAAAAUACUGGCCGGGUGGCAACCUAAAAGCAAUUGUUUCUCCAAAUAUAUUAUUCAGCAACUUGAAAAUCAUCAGCCAAUAAUUGCUAUUAGUGCAGCAUAAACAAUAUAAAACGGCACAUUUAAAACUUCAAAUUUUAGAAAUACAAACAGCAACUCGCAACAAGACAAUUGCUUUCCUCUCAAUAGUUUGUAUAGAUAGGUCACAGGACUACAUUUCCCAGCAUGCAGCAGUGCUCAGGACUGGGCUGGCGCUUGGCUGUGUAUCCAAUCAUUAAAAAGGGCGCAAAAUGUUUGUGGAGAGCCAGCCCUCUCUGCCUACUGUAUAAAGGGCAGUGUUAUGGGAGAGCAAGGGAGUGGUUUACUGAUCCAGGAGAAGGCUGCUAUCCCAGCUUUAGACUAGGCAAAUAAGGUGCAGGGGGGAAGUUGUCUGGUUGUUUAAUGAGAAAAUCACAGGCUGGAAUCAGCAGAGGCCCCGGUGAUUACAGCAGCUGGAGAACAUAUCUAUCUACAGCUUCCCUGCUCAGAUCUGCUCCACAGAGUGAUCCAGUUAUUUAAGAGCACAGACUGUACAAGUGACUCUUCAUUACAAUUAGCAUACUAGGCGAGCAGCAAACGGAGUGAUACAGAGCAAUGGUUU